AUUGAACGCUGGCGGCAUGCUUUACACAUGCAAGUCGAACGGUAACAGGGAGCUUGCUCCGCUGACGAGUGGCGAACGGGUGAGUAAUGCAUCGGAACGUACCCAGUCGUGGGGGGAUAACGUAGCGAAAGUUACGCUAAUACCGCAUACGUCCUGAGGGAGAAAGCGGGGGACCGUAAGGCCUCGCGCGAUUGGAGCGGCCGAUGUCGGAUUAGCUAGUUGGUAGGGUAAAGGCCUACCAAGGCGACGAUCCGUAGCGGGUCUGAGAGGAUGAUCCGCCACACUGGGACUGAGACACGGCCCAGACUCCUACGGGAGGCAGCAGUGGGGAAUUUUGGACAAUGGGCGAAAGCCUGAUCCAGCCAUGCCGCGUGAGUGAAGAAGGCC
RNAcentral lists this ribosomal RNA (387 nucleotides) under uncultured bacterium. Its description in RNAcentral is "bacterial SSU rRNA". It matches the Rfam family "Bacterial small subunit ribosomal RNA", at positions 29 to 416 of the family's 1533-position model. The record is from RNAcentral.